AAGCUUUGAUCCGGAGAUUUCCGAAUGGGGAAACCCCCUGUCUUUAAUCGGACAGGAUUCCUGCCUGAAUCCAUAGGGCAGGAAGGGCACACCCGGGGAACUGAAACAUCUCAGUACCCGGAGGAAGAGAAAGCAAUUGCGAUUUCCCAAGUAGCGGCGAGCGAACAGGAAACAGCCCAAACCGGAAGGCUUGCCUUCCGGGGUUGUAGGACACUCAUAUGGGAGUUACAAAAGAACAGGUUAAGUGAAGCGGCCUGGAAAGGCCUGCCGGAGAAGGUAAAAGCCCUGUAACUGACACUUCGUUCUCUCCCGAGUGGAUCCUGAGUACGGCGGGACACGAGGAAUCCCGCCGGAAUCCGGGAGGACCAUCUCCCAAGGCUAAAUACUCCCUAGUGACCGAUAGUGAACCAGUACCGUGAGGGAAAGGUGAAAAGCACCCCGGGAGGGGAGUGAAAGAGAUCCUGAAACCGUGUGCCUACAAGUAGUCAGAGCCCGUUAACGGGUGAUGGCGUGCCUUUUGUAGAAUGAACCGGCGAGUUACGGUCUCAUGCAAGGUUAAGCUGAAGAAGCGGAGCCGCAGCGAAAGCGAGUCUGAACAGGGCGAAAGAGUAUGAGGCCGCAGACCCGAAACCAGGUGAUCUACCCAUGUCCAGGGUGAAGGCAAGGUAACACUUGCUGGAGGCCCGAACCCACGCACGUUGAAAAGUGCGGGGAUGAGGUGUGGGUAGCGGAGAAAUUCCAAUCGAACUUGGAGAUAGCUGGUUCUCUCCGAAAUAGCUUUAGGGCUAGCCUCAAGCGAAGAGUUUUGGAGGUAGAGCACUGUUUGGACGAGGGGCCCUCAUCGGGUUACCGAAUUCAGACAAACUCCGAAUGCCAAAAACUUAUGCUUGGGAGUCAGACUGUGAGUGAUAAGAUCCAUGGUCGAAAGGGAAACAGCCCAGACCGCCAGCUAAGGUCCCAAAGUAUACGUUAAGUGGAAAAGGAUGUGGCGUUGCUUAGACAACCAGGAUGUUGGCUUAGAAGCAGCCAUCAUUCAAAGAGUGCGUAAUAGCUCACUGGUCGAGUGACGCUGCGCCGAAAAUGUAC
Molecule: ribosomal RNA, 1086 nt
Filed under: Heyndrickxia coagulans
Lineage: Bacteria; Bacillati; Bacillota; Bacilli; Caryophanales; Bacillaceae
Description: bacterial LSU rRNA
Rfam family: Bacterial large subunit ribosomal RNA
Source: RNAcentral